Molecule: ribosomal RNA, 846 nt
Filed under: uncultured bacterium
Lineage: Bacteria
Description: bacterial SSU rRNA
Rfam family: Bacterial small subunit ribosomal RNA
Source: RNAcentral
GGUUCGGAUACUGGGCAUAAGCGCGCGUAGGCGGCAUGGUAAGUCGGGUGUGAAAUCCCUCGGCCCAACCGAGGAAUUGCGCUCGAAACUACCGUGCUUGAGGACAGGAGGGGAGCCUGGAAUUCCUGGUGGAGCGGUGAAAUGCGUUGAUAUCAGGAGGAACACCGGCGGCGAAGGCGAGGCUCUGGCCUGUUUCUGACGCUGAGGCGCGAAAGCUAGGGGAGCAAACGGGAUAGAUACCCCGGUAGUCCUAGCCGUAAACGAUGGGCACUAGGUAGGGGGGUACCCAAUGCCUCCCUGCUGGAGCAAAUGUAUUAAGUGCCCCGCCUGGGGAGUAUAGUCGCAAGGCUGAAACUCAAAGGAAUUGACGGGGGCUCACACAAGCGGUGGAGCAUGUUGUUUAAUUCGAAGCAACGCGCAGAACCUUACCUGGGCUUGACAUGUUAGUGGUAGGAGCCUGAAAGGGUAACGACCCCGAAAGAGGGAGCUAGCACAGGUGUUGCAUGUCUGUCGUCAGCUCGUGUCGUGAGAUGUCGGGUUAAGUUCCAUAACGAGCGAAACCCUUGUCUUCAGUUGCCAGCGGGUAAAGCCGGGGACUCUGGAGAGACUGCCGGUGUUAAACCGGAGGAAGGUGGGGAUGACGUCAAGUCCUCAUGGCCCUUACGCCCAGGGCUACGAACGUGCCACAAUGGCCGGUACAGAGGGACGCGAAACCGUGAGGUCAAGCAAAUCCCAAAAAGCCGGUCUCAGUUCGGAUUGAGGGCUGCAACUCGCCCUCAUGAAGCUGGAAUCGCUAGUAAUCGGGGAUCAGCUACGCCCCGGUGAAUAUGUUCCUGAGCCUUGUAC